GUGGAAGGAAGCACAUCAGUGGGACCACAAGCUGAGUGACUCACUUCACUCCAUACAUAUCCCCCAGAAAGGUCUGAGACUAGGCCCAAGAGCAGUCCCUAGCAGGGCCCUCCGAGUCUUGUGGAGAUCUAUUCCCAGAGACCAGGACUCCACAGUGAGGGCAGACUAGGAAGGAGAUGCUGUGGACCUGCCCGUGAAGGGAACGGGUUGGCAAAUGUCUCUCUCGCUGGAACUCACUCUGGCCAAGUAAGAGUGAGUUCAAUGCUGAGGUGAGGCACCCCAACGCAGGGCCUUACAACCCAAUUCAGACUACUUUCCUUCAUAC
RNAcentral lists this RNase P RNA (325 nucleotides) under Castor canadensis (American beaver). RNAcentral describes it as "Nuclear RNase P (ENSCCNG00000007945.1)". It matches the Rfam family "Nuclear RNase P". Rfam says of the family: Ribonuclease P (RNase P) is a ubiquitous endoribonuclease, found in archaea, bacteria and eukarya as well as chloroplasts and mitochondria. Its best characterised activity is the generation of mature 5'-ends of tRNAs by cleaving the 5'-leader elements of precursor-tRNAs. The record is from Rfam by way of RNAcentral. Lineage: Eukaryota; Metazoa; Chordata; Mammalia; Rodentia; Castoridae.